UGGCAUCCUUACAGGUUUAUGUAAUUGUUAUGUGUAGAUAUUUAUGUGAUGCAUGAUAUGUUAUUUGGUUAUAUAUGGUAUUUGCAGGGAAGAUCCCGGGGGAAGCCCACGGCAUUAGAUGUAAGACCAUGUGGGGUAGUCCAUGGCAGUCCUAGGUAAAGACCAUGUGGGGUAGCCCAUGGCUUUGGAUGUAAGACCAUGUGGGGGAGCCCAUGGCAAUCCUAGGUAAAGACCAUGUGGGGUAGCCCAUGACACUAUUACAGAUUUUAUGUAUGCAGGGCUUAUGUGAU
Molecule: long non-coding RNA, 290 nt
Filed under: Lactuca sativa (garden lettuce)
Lineage: Eukaryota; Viridiplantae; Streptophyta; Magnoliopsida; Asterales; Asteraceae
Description: long non-coding RNA (LSAT_LNC008490)
Source: RNAcentral